Molecule: non-coding RNA, 679 nt
Organism: Triticum urartu
Lineage: Eukaryota; Viridiplantae; Streptophyta; Magnoliopsida; Poales; Poaceae
Source: RefSeq, a predicted model, not a curated record
UGUCGCAGGAAAAGUACUUGUCAUGGAAUAGUUACGUAAAGACAUGAAGAUGUGGGCGGACCUGAGAGAAAUGCUCCAGAGGUAAUUUCAAUCAUUAUCGCACUAUAUUGGCAACUUUCAUUCAUUUCCUAAUAUCAAGUAAUUAAUAAAUUAUUCAUUUUCUUUGUCGGGCGGGGUUUGGAAAGAGUUCACCAAGCAGGUUAGGGGUGAAUGGAGAGAGGAGCUGCGAUUUAAACAACUCAGUUGCUCGAGGCAGGGAUCUGGAAAUAACUUAUGUGGAUACUAUGUUUGCGAGUUCAUUCGCGUGACGACCUCUGAGGCGGACAGCUUGUUUGAAAAACUUGAAAUUGAACGAAAGCGGGAUGAACUCCUACCAAAGGCUCGCAUACGAGCAAUACAAGAGGAAUUGGUGGGAUUCUUCCUUGAAGAGAUCAUUGCUAAAACCGGAGAAUACCAUUGAGAAUUGGUAGUGAAUGUUGGUAAUUAGAUAUUGGGAUAGUAAGAGAUGUUACAUUGUAUAUAUGCAUGAACGUGCACUAUACGUAGUAGCGUCGAAUAGAUAUAGGAAAACUUGUUGUUCGACCAAGCAUGGAAAAAGAGAGGUCACUUCUCUCUAUAUUCAUGAAGAUUUGUGUAAUGGUUCCUUCAUUGCUAUAUGUAGUAGUUAGCGUCGAGUUGA